UUCACUUUUGAGAAAAUUAGUUUUUCUUUUUCUCAUCUUCUCUCUUUCCAUUGUCGAUUCAACAGAUUCUUCUAAGUAAUUUCAGGUUUAGAAACACAGAGUUUCAUCGACAUAUCUGAAGAAUCAAUGUCAACGGCGAUGUCGGAGAUGGUGGAUCUGAAGACCCUAGUGUCAACAACGACAUCGGAGGUGGUGGAUCUGAAGACCCUUGUGUCAAUGAUGGCGUCAGAGAUGGUGGUGGAAGUGAAGGACCACCGAAGAUGCUCACACCUUUUACCACCACCACUACGUUUUGAAGCUUCCGCCAGUUCACCACCAAUACAUCUCGGCCGCCGCCGUCGUUUUGUUCUCCGUUGCUCCGCUGCCGCAAUAGUACAUCUCCACCGUCGUUUUGUUCUCCGUUCCAAUAGUUGUAUAGAUAUAUAUUUAUUCUACAUAUAAUAUAAUGAAUUUAAGAAACAAAUAAAAACUAUUAUUAAUUUCUUUUUCUAAUUAAUUUUUUUUUGUUUUUAAUUUUUUUUUAGCAUUUUCCUACAAAUUGUGUAGUCUUUAAUUUGUAGCACUUUGCGACACUUAGUCACGAUGAAAAACUUUGCUACGACCAAAUAGUUACUAACAUUUUUGGUCGCAAAUUUGUAAC
Camelina sativa (false flax) is the source of this 640-nucleotide long non-coding RNA. RefSeq lists it as uncharacterized. Lineage: Eukaryota; Viridiplantae; Streptophyta; Magnoliopsida; Brassicales; Brassicaceae. The record is from RefSeq and is a predicted model, not a curated record.